Molecule: long non-coding RNA, 924 nt
Filed under: Ursus americanus (American black bear)
Lineage: Eukaryota; Metazoa; Chordata; Mammalia; Carnivora; Ursidae
Description: lncRNA (ENSUAMG00000017398.1)
Source: RNAcentral
CUCUAGCGAGCUCGGCGGCGGAGCCCGAGGCCUCGGCGGCCCUUCGGACGCUGUCCGGAAAGUCGCGACCGCCUCCGCCUCCCGGGCUCGCGAGCGCCCAGGUUCGGCCAUUUCCGGCCCGGCGCACUUCGGCAAGUUCCGCAGUCGCUUGUCGGAAAUGGCUGCCCGCCGGCAGGGGGAGCGGAGGAUCCGGCGCGGCCUGGAAGGCGGGCAGCAGGCGGCGAGAGCGGCUCUUGGGUACCCGAGUUUCGCGCAGGCGGCGGCGGCUCGUCCCUGAACUGGAAGCCGGUCGGCCUCCCGGCGACGGUAGCGGCGGCGGCUGGAGCUCCGAGCAGCCGGGGGCGGCGGCCCGGAAGCGCCUGUGGAGAGCAAGCCCUGGACCUGGAGUUCGCUAUUUCAAGAAAUUAUAUACUGAAGUAAAAUGCUGCAUGAGUUAGAAAAAGGAAGGAUCUGGAAACAUACGGCCUGAUUGUUGGCAAUGACAUCGAUAAGAGGCUGGCAUUUCUUUCUGUUCUAACCAGCUACUUUAUGACUGUGAAUAGUAAAUAUGCGUAUUUGUUGGUCAGCAAAACCAAGGAACAAGAGCUAUGGCAGUUGAAAAAGUCUGUCUGAUUCCAGGUUAUUUUUCCUGGGUUUCGUCAUCAGGGACCUUUUCCUUUUCAUCUCAUCAACAAUGUGGUACCUUUUACCAUUUGAUAAAGAGUAAGGACAUGUCCAUUGGUCAACAACCAGAACUUAAAAUCUGCUGGAAUAAGGUCAGAGACCAUUUCAAUUACAGCUGAGGAAAAUGAAAUUUCCAUUUUAUUCCGUGCCUUGUACAGGGAGCACACUAACUCUUAGCAGGAAGGUGUGAGUGAAAAGAGAUUGAGUUUGUCUAAUAGAAACUCAUGGUUAUGGCGAGUGACCCAACGUGAUUAGAGGGGG